CAACCAUCAGCUGGUCUCAUAUUUUUAUACAUUUUAUAAAACCACAUUCAGCAGAAUUUGGAACCAAUAUAUCGGUAUGUUAAUAAUUAUUAUGAAAUGAAUCCAUUUAAUAAGUACUAGAAAUUAAAAAUCUGAUCUUUAUAGUGGACUUCAGUUAAGAUGGAGGAGAGGCAGAUGAUACUCAUAAUGAUCAUCACAGUUUCAGGCAUUUAUGCUGAUAGAAUUGGACCAAGAGAAGGAGACACUAAUAUAAUCAGAGAAGAAGGAGAGUCUGUGACACUGAGCUGCACGUAUGAAACAACCAGCGAUAAUAUUUGGCUCUACUGGUACAGACAAUAUCUAAACAGAGAACCAGAAUAUAUACUGUAUAAAGGCGCUCGAUCAUGGAGCAGUUAUAAGGAUAUACCAGAUGGGUUUCAGUCAACUACAUCCCAGACAUCCACUGAACUUACUAUUGUAAAAGCAGCUCUGUCAGAUUCUGCUCUUUAUUAUUGUGCACUUCGAGUAGCCCAGUGAUACAAAAUACCAGAGAAGCUUUACAAAAACUCACAUGAAAUUAAUGCUUUGAAGAGUCUUUAAUCAAUCAGUAUCAAAACACAUCAUGUUUUAUAAACCACAAACAGUGAAUGUGGUAACAGCUGUGAAUUUGGGAAG
This 654-nucleotide long non-coding RNA is filed under the name Carassius auratus (goldfish). RNAcentral describes it as "lncRNA (ENSCARG00000020693.1)". The record is from RNAcentral. Lineage: Eukaryota; Metazoa; Chordata; Actinopteri; Cypriniformes; Cyprinidae.